Molecule: ribosomal RNA, 2772 nt
Filed under: Haloarcula marismortui
Lineage: Archaea; Methanobacteriati; Methanobacteriota; Halobacteria; Halobacteriales; Haloarculaceae
Description: 23S ribosomal RNA from Haloarcula marismortui (PDB 2QEX, chain 0)
Rfam family: Archaeal large subunit ribosomal RNA
Source: RNAcentral
GUUGGCUACUAUGCCAGCUGGUGGAUUGCUCGGCUCAGGCGCUGAUGAAGGACGUGCCAAGCUGCGAUAAGCCAUGGGGAGCCGCACGGAGGCGAAGAACCAUGGAUUUCCGAAUGAGAAUCUCUAACAAUUGCUUCGCGCAAUGAGGAACCCCGAGAACUGAAACAUCUCAGUAUCGGGAGGAACAGAAAACGCAAUGUGAUGUCGUUAGUAACCGCGAGUGAACGCGAUACAGCCCAAACCGAAGCCCUCACGGGCAAUGUGGUGUCAGGGCUACCUCUCAUCAGCCGACCGUCUCGACGAAGUCUCUUGGAACAGAGCGUGAUACAGGGUGACAACCCCGUACUCGAGACCAGUACGACGUGCGGUAGUGCCAGAGUAGCGGGGGUUGGAUAUCCCUCGCGAAUAACGCAGGCAUCGACUGCGAAGGCUAAACACAACCUGAGACCGAUAGUGAACAAGUAGUGUGAACGAACGCUGCAAAGUACCCUCAGAAGGGAGGCGAAAUAGAGCAUGAAAUCAGUUGGCGAUCGAGCGACAGGGCAUACAAGGUCCCUCGACGAAUGACCGACGCGCGAGCGUCCAGUAAGACUCACGGGAAGCCGAUGUUCUGUCGUACGUUUUGAAAAACGAGCCAGGGAGUGUGUCUGCAUGGCAAGUCUAACCGGAGUAUCCGGGGAGGCACAGGGAAACCGACAUGGCCGCAGGGCUUGCCCGAGGGCCGCCGUCUUCAAGGGCGGGGAGCCAUGUGGACACGACCCGAAUCCGGACGAUCUACGCAUGGACAAGAUGAAGCGUGCCGAAAGGCACGUGGAAGUCUGUUAGAGUUGGUGUCCUACAAUACCCUCUCGUGAUCUAUGUGUAGGGGUGAAAGGCCCAUCGAGUCCGGCAACAGCUGGUUCCAAUCGAAACAUGUCGAAGCAUGACCUCCGCCGAGGUAGUCUGUGAGGUAGAGCGACCGAUUGGUCCUGUCAAACUCCAAACUUACAGACGCCGUUUGACGCGGGGAUUCCGGUGCGCGGGGUAAGCCUGUGUACCAGGAGGGGAACAACCCAGAGAUAGGUUAAGGUCCCCAAGUGUGGAUUAAGUGUAAUCCUCUGAAGGUGGUCUCGAGCCCUAGACAGCCGGGAGGUGAGCUUAGAAGCAGCUACCCUCUAAGAAAAGCGUAACAGCUUACCGGCCGAGGUUUGAGGCGCCCAAAAUGAUCGGGACUCAAAUCCACCACCGAGACCUGUCCGUACCACUCAUACUGGUAAUCGAGUAGAUUGGCGCUCUAAUUGGAUGGAAGUAGGGGUGAAAACUCCUAUGGACCGAUUAGUGACGAAAAUCCUGGCCAUAGUAGCAGCGAUAGUCGGGUGAGAACCCCGACGGCCUAAUGGAUAAGGGUUCCUCAGCACUGCUGAUCAGCUGAGGGUUAGCCGGUCCUAAGUCAUACCGCAACUCGACUAUGACGAAAUGGGAAACGGGUUAAUAUUCCCGUGCCACUAUGCAGUGAAAGUUGACGCCCUGGGGUCGAUCACGCUGGGCAUCGCCCAGUCGAACCGUCCAACUCCGUGGAAGCCGUAAUGGCAGGAAGCGGACGAACGGCGGCAUAGGGAAACGUGAUUCAACCUGGGGCCCAUGAAAAGACGAGCAUAGUGUCCGUACCGAGAACCGACACAGGUGUCCAUGGCGGCGAAAGCCAAGGCCUGUCGGGAGCAACCAACGUUAGGGAAUUCGGCAAGUUAGUCCCGUACCUUCGGAAGAAGGGAUGCCUGCUCCGGAACGGAGCAGGUCGCAGUGACUCGGAAGCUCGGACUGUCUAGUAACAACAUAGGUGACCGCAAAUCCGCAAGGACUCGUACGGUCACUGAAUCCUGCCCAGUGCAGGUAUCUGAACACCUCGUACAAGAGGACGAAGGACCUGUCAACGGCGGGGGUCUUAAGGUAGCGUAGUACCUUGCCGCAUCAGUAGCGGCUUGCAUGAAUGGAUUAACCAGAGCUUCACUGUCCCAACGUUGGGCCCGGUGAACUGUACAUUCCAGUGCGGAGUCUGGAGACACCCAGGGGGAAGCGAAGACCCUAUGGAGCUUUACUGCAGGCUGUCGCUGAGGACUCUCACUCCGGGAGGAGGACACCGAUAGCCGGGCAGUUUGACUGGGGCGGUACGCGCUCGAAAAGAUAUCGAGCGCGCCCUAUGGCUAUCUCAGCCGGGGACCCGGCGAAGAGUGCAAGAGCAAAAGAUAGCUUGACAGUGUUCUUCCCAACGAGGAACGCUGACGCGAAAGCGUGGUCUAGCGAACCAAUUAGCCUGCUUGAUGCGGGCAAUUGAUGACAGAAAAGCUACCCUAGGGAUAACAGAGUCGUCACUCGCAAGAGCACAUAUCGACCGAGUGGCUUGCUACCUCGAUGUCGGUUCCCUCCAUCCUGCCCGUGCAGAAGCGGGCAAGGGUGAGGUUGUUCGCCUAUUAAAGGAGGUCGUGAGCUGGGUUUAGACCGUCGUGAGACAGGUCGGCUGCUAUCUACUGGGUGUGUAGGUGUCUGACAAGAACGACCGUAUAGUACGAGAGGAACUACGGUUGGUGGCCACUGGUGUACCGGUUGUUCGAGAGAGCACGUGCCGGGUAGCCACGCCACACGGGGUAAGAGCUGAACGCAUCUAAGCUCGAAACCCACUUGGAAAAGAGACACCGCCGAGGUCCCGCGUACAAGACGCGGUCGAUAGACUCGGGGUGUGCGCGUCGAGGUAACGAGACGUUAAGCCCACGAGCACUAACAGACCAAAGCCAUCAU